CGUAGGUGGCGAGCGUUGUCCGGAUUUAUUGGGUUUAAAGGGCGCGUAGGCGGUCCUAUAAGUCAGUGCUGAAAUAUCCCGGCUUAACCGGGAGGGUGGCAUUGAUACUGCAGGACUUGAGUAAAGUUGAGGUUGGCGGAAUUGACGGUGUAGCGGUGAAAUGCUUAGAUAUCGUCAAGAACACCGAUAGUGUAGACAGCUAACUAAGCUUUAACUGACGCUGAGGCACGAAAGUGUGGGGAUCAAACAGGAUUAGAUACCCUGGUAGUCCACACUGUAAACGUUGAUUACUCGAUGUUGGCGAUACACUGUCAGCGUCUUAGCGAAAGCGAUAAGUAAUCCACCUGGGGAGUACGCCGGCAACGGUG
Molecule: ribosomal RNA, 368 nt
Filed under: uncultured organism
Description: bacterial SSU rRNA
Rfam family: Bacterial small subunit ribosomal RNA
Source: RNAcentral